AACGCGAAGAACCUUACCAGGGUUUGACAUGAUGUUGAACGCACGGGAAACCGUGUUCCCUUCGGGGCAAUGUCACAGGUGCUGCAUGGCUGUCGUCAGCUCGUGCCGUGAGGUGUGAGGUUCAGUCCUUCAACGAGCGCAACCCCUAUUGUCGGUUGAAUUUCUCCGGCAAAACUGCCGUCGGAAGGCGGAGGAAGGUGGGGAUGACGUCAAGUCAGCACGGCCCUUACAUCCUGGGCGACACACACGCUACAAUGGUCGAGACAACGAGUCGCAAACCCGCGAGGGGGAGCUAAUCUCAACAAACUCGAUCUCAGUUCGGAUUGGAGGCUGCAACCCGCCUCCAUGAAGCUGGAGUUGCUAGUAACCGUGAGUCAGCACAUCACGGUGAAUACGUUCCCGGGCCUUGUACACACCGGUACUA
Molecule: ribosomal RNA, 424 nt
Filed under: uncultured bacterium
Lineage: Bacteria
Description: bacterial SSU rRNA
Rfam family: Bacterial small subunit ribosomal RNA
Source: RNAcentral